This 380-nucleotide ribosomal RNA is filed under the name uncultured bacterium. RNAcentral's name for it is "bacterial SSU rRNA". It matches the Rfam family "Archaeal small subunit ribosomal RNA", at positions 473 to 853 of the family's 1478-position model. The record is from RNAcentral. RNAcentral also lists the same sequence under 1 other name.
AUACCUGCAGCUCAAGUGGUGACCGUUAUUAUUGGGCCUAAAACGUCCGUAGCCGGUUUGGUAAAUGCUUGGGUAAAUCGUGUAGCUUAACUAUACGAAUACCGGGUAGACUGCCAGACUUGAGACCGGGAGAGGUUGGAGGUACUCCUGGGGUAGAGGUGAAAUUCUGUAAUCCUGGGGGGACCACCAGUGGCGAAGGCGUCCAACCAGAACGGGUCUGACGGUGAGGGACGAAGCCCUGGGGCGCAAACCGGAUUAGAUACCCGGGUAGUCCAGGGUGUAAACGCUGCUUGCUUGAUGUUAGGUCGGCUUCGAGCCUACCUAGUGUCGGAGAGAAGUUGUUAAGCAAGCUGCCUGGGAAGCACGGUCGCAAGACUGAA